GGGUGACAGGGGCCAAGGCAGGGGCCGCCUGACCGGGGCCUCCAAAGCCGAAAGUCCCCCAUCCUCCGCUCCGCCCCUGUGCCGCAGGUGAACGGGCAGAACGUGGUGAAGGUUGGCCACCGCCAGGUGGUGAACAUGAUCCGCCAAGGGGGCAACACGCUCAUGGUGAAGGUGGUGAUGGUCACCAGGCACCCGGACAUGGACGAGGCCGUCCACAAGAAAGCACCCCAGCAGGCGAAGCGGCUCCCACCCCCGGCCAUCUCCCUGCGCUCCAAGUCGAUGACCUCCGAGCUGGAGGAGAUGGUCUCCCCCUGGAGGAAGAAGAGUGAGUAUGAGCAGCAGCCUGCGCCGGUGCCCAGCAUGGAGAAAAAGCGGACUGUGUAUCAGAUGGCUCUGAACAAACUGGACGAGAUCCUGGCUGCAGCCCAGCAGACUAUCAGCGCUAGCGAGAGCCCCGCUCCUGGAGGCCUGGCGUCCCUGGGCAAGCACCGGCCCAAAGGCUUCUUCGCCACCGAGUCAAGCUUCGAUCCCCACCACCGCUCCCAGCCAAGUUACGAGCGUCCUUCCUUCCUGCCUCCAGGACCCGGACUCAUGCUCCGCCAAAAAUCUAUCGGUAGGUCUUCAAGGGCCGGCCGGUGAGGACGGGAUCCUGCCCAGGAAGGCAAGUGUGCCCGUAAAUGUCUUAUGCUCAGGCCUGUGUCUGGGCAGAGCUUGGGGCCUGGAGCUGAGCGUCUGGGCUCCUCCUCUGGCAUCUAGAAAGCGGGGACAAGCCCUGUGCUCAGGCAUGGGCUGGGGCUCCCAACCUCAGCGCAGAGUUGAUAAGAGGCAGUGACUGAGGCCAGAUGCUGCAGGAAAGCGCAGUCCGAGAGUCGAGAGCCAAGGUCUGACCCUGAGAAACAGGCAGGCUCAGCUCCUCUAGCGCCCAGAGCUUUGCCCUUGUCUUUGCCCAUUGUUUUCCCGACUCCAGCGAACUCUGCUUUUUCUGUGUGGCAGCUGCUCCUAUAAACAGCCACAUCUCGGGCUGGGGAUGUAGCCCAGUGGUAGGGAGCUUGUCUAGCAAGCGUAAGGCCGCGAAAGGUUCAAUCCCCAAGCCAAAAGAGCUUGUCUGCUAUCUGCUACGCCUUGAGGGGUUGUACCUGUGAAAUCAUAGGCCCAGGAUCACCGCGAGCCCUUCCCAGCUCACCCCAAGGCGUCAAAGUAUGCGUUUGCCUUUGUGCAAAUUAGAACGGGGCGCCCUCUCGCGUCUGGAGGUGGAAAUUCAGCUGAAUUUCGCCCCCCCUCCCGCCUGCUCCCCCUGCUGUUUGCUGUUGAGC
Molecule: long non-coding RNA, 1313 nt
Filed under: Fukomys damarensis (Damara mole-rat)
Lineage: Eukaryota; Metazoa; Chordata; Mammalia; Rodentia; Bathyergidae
Description: lncRNA (ENSFDAG00000027281.1)
Source: RNAcentral